GCAUAAAGCAGUUCACAGUAAGGCAGCUCACUUAUAUCAUCCGAUUGUGGUUGCAUCUCUGGAGCUUUAUGUUGAAUUUUGUUGGCAUUAGGUGAAUUGCAUUGGCAUGUUUCAAAUCAUACUUAUCUGACCAUUAUCACCAAAGAGGUGUCAUUGAUCACAAUUUCAGUAUGUAGUACUGCAAGGCUCAGUACUAGGACCAUUCCCUUUCAUCCUGUACAUGCUACCUUAAGGAGAUUUCAUUAAGAAACCUGAAACUAAUUACGCUGACAAUAGUCUUUAGAUUUUGCUUUGAGGCCAGGUGACACAUACCAAUUAACAAAACUAAUGGAAUGCAUAGUUGAUAUUAAAAUUUAGAUGACUCCCUUUCUACUACUAAAUUCAGAAAUACUGUCUAACUCUUGACCACGAUUUUCCAUCUUAAAAAUAUUUCUAAAUAACAACCUUUAUCUGAAUACUUGUCUACUUGUGAAUGGCCUUCGAUAGAAAAAGAAACUGUUCAGUUUCCUGAUGGUCUAGUUAUGACAUCUACCAGCAGAGGCUAACAGGACCAUGCUAACCAACAAAUCCUUGUGUGUUCAGAUGAGAGAUGAUCUGGAUAAGGCAGAGGACCGGCUGGAGUGGGCAAAUAAUGCACUCAAAAGUGACUGGACCCGCUGGCAAAAGGUCAUGAGGACUGACCUACGAUCAGCCUUCGUCGACACAGCAGAGAGGAACGUCAGCUACUAUGAAAAGUGUUUGGCAGUAUGGGAGUCGUUCUUGCAUUCUCAAAGGACAGACGCUGAAGGAAAUGGAAAUGUUGACUUUUCCUAAUCUCUCGUGGUGCUUUUAUCUGAACGGGACCACCAAAGAUGCUUUUAUUCCUGCAGAAGCCAACAAGAUUCAUAUUUAGAGACCGAGGCACCAAAGAGAGGGAUAGUCACCCUGUACAAACAUAUUCAAACAUUCACCCACUCAACCAGAGAGAUCGAGAGGAGAAUUUCUUUCCGUCAUCUGUACGGCUCACAUUUGAAUUCUUUUGAUAAUGGGAAAAAAUUAUAUUGCCAAAUAUUUUAUACUGAGAUCUAUUUUUCAUUUUUGAUUAUAUAAAUACAACACAUGAGAUGGAAAAAAAAAUAAUGCAAUUCCUGGAAGAUGAAGAUGCACGCAUUAUGGCUUUAUUGCAUCAUCUGACCUUUCUAGUGAGGAUUUUAUCCAUAUGAUGUUUGCUAUUUCAUAUGUCCUGCCCUUUUGCAGAUCAAUGCAAAUGCUUUUUACCUCUUAUCAGAGCUGCCUCGAUGCAAAAACCAGUCAAUUAGAGUAUAAAUAAAUAUAAAUGCACUCUGAAUGGAUGCAUUUCUUGCAUUGGACUGAAUUCAUCAUUGUGCUAUUCCAUUCAGGUUACUGAAGCUGCAUCUUUAUGCAAAAAAAAAAAUCAUAUAUUAAAGAUGCUGACAUUCCAGAAUUGUUUACAUGUAAUUGUAGUGCAUAAAUCAAAAGAAUUUACCUGCUGCCUUUUAAUGUGAAUUGAGUGUAUUGUUUUAGAUUCUUCCAUAUGAUUUAAUGCGGUGCACUAAUUUCAUAAAGUAAUAAAUUGCAACCUGAUUUAAAACCGC
This is a long non-coding RNA of Carassius auratus (goldfish), 1595 nucleotides long. RefSeq lists it as uncharacterized. The transcript has 2 exons. Lineage: Eukaryota; Metazoa; Chordata; Actinopteri; Cypriniformes; Cyprinidae. The record is from RefSeq and is a predicted model, not a curated record.